GUUUGUAGAUCUUACUUUACUGAACAUUCUUGUUGCUACAAUUAUCUCUUUCUAUAAUGAACUUGGCCCAGUAAUUACAGUGGAAAAUAUUUUCUGAAAAUUUACAAAAAUUUAUGAAAAAUGUUAAAAAUUAACUAUAAAGGGCAAUAACUCCUUAAGGGGUCAAUUGACUAUUUUGGUCAUGUAAACUUAUUUGUAGAUCUUAUUUUGCUGAACGUUAUUGCUGGAUACAGUUUAUCUCUAUCUAUAAUAAUAUUCAAGAUAAUAACAAAACCAGAUGCUCCGCAGGGCGUAGCUUUAUACGACCGCAGAGGUUGAACCCUGAACGGUUGGGGCAAGUAUGGACACAACAUUCAAGCUGGAUUCAGCUCUAAAUUUGGAUUGUGAUUAAAUAGUUGACACAGCAUAGGUUUCUGACACAGAAUGAAUGUGUUCUAAUGAACUUAAAAUUUU
This 453-nucleotide long non-coding RNA is filed under the name Mytilus galloprovincialis (Mediterranean mussel). Lineage: Eukaryota; Metazoa; Mollusca; Bivalvia; Mytilida; Mytilidae. The record is from RNAcentral.